GUGUAAAUAAUUUUGUAUAAAGUUUAUUAUAAUGAAGGUAGAUUGUAAGCAUUUCCGUCUUUCAAUCGCCAAUAAACUGUACAUAUUUGUCCCUUGACGUAUGCAAACGGGCACUAUCAAUCAGCCAAGCUCUCCAAGGUCGAAGCCAUUUGUUUUCUGGAUAAGGUGGGAAAGGGAUAGCAGCGCGACUAUCUUGUCAAAUUAUCAAUCGUGCCGAUAAAGUCACGACUGUACACAAAGGGGUCGGGAAAUGACGUACUUCCGGUUGUGUCCGAGUCCCACCUUCCUUAAUCUGAGGAUUCACAGACUCGAUCAUUUCGUCCGUGACUUUCCGUAAAGUUAGAGGUGUUCGCGUUUGUUAGUUAGUGUUUCGUUUGCCAAAAUAGGUUAAAGUUAAGUGUGCGGUGUGAAAUUGUGUGCGAUAGUGGAAAUCAAAGCCAAGAUAGAAGCCAUAUUGGCUUGGGCUUCUCACCCGCAGAAUUUCCACGCACCCAAGCGCGAUACCUGUUCCCCCAACGGACGGAAAAUUCCCGACCACUGACUACCCGUCGGAAGUAGACUGGUCCGUCACCAUACUGGUCUAAGGGAGCUCUGGGGACUUCCACGUGGACGAAGUCCACCAGCCGGUUAAUCCAACCGCCGGCAAAGCAAGCAACCGCCAUCGCUUCAUUGAGCAGCGAUCGCCAGGAGCAUCGACCCUACCCCGUAGGUCAUCGACUGUAGUAAGUCGCAUCGAAUCGGUGAGUCUCCAAGUUUAUUUUUGCAUGGAGUGCGGCGUCCGAGGAGGGCGCCGCGGAGGGAUAUUUUUUGCCAGUCUUAGACUGAGGACCCGUGAAAGUGCUAUUAAAGCACAAUCGAGGAAUCGCGAGUUGGAGUGGAAAGCCCACCAACCGCUCGAGUCUGGCGUCAUCAGUGAAAAGCGUGCGUGAGCCCAUUUUCGCCAACACAUAAAUUCCCACCUAAUACCCGGAGCGCAGAAUGACGAGAAACUGAACUUUCGAUAAUCCGUGACGUCACAUAACAUGUAAAAGCACAGAGCACAUGAGAGUAGAAGAUAGGAUAGAGAAAACCGCACACAAGCUAGAGAUAGGCAAUAGAACGAACACCAACACAUAAACCAAUGCG
This is a long non-coding RNA of Armigeres subalbatus, 1125 nucleotides long. RefSeq lists it as uncharacterized. The transcript has 3 exons. Lineage: Eukaryota; Metazoa; Arthropoda; Insecta; Diptera; Culicidae. The record is from RefSeq and is a predicted model, not a curated record.